Carya illinoinensis is the source of this 547-nucleotide long non-coding RNA. RefSeq lists it as uncharacterized. The record is from RefSeq and is a predicted model, not a curated record. The transcript has 3 exons. NCBI's taxonomy places the organism in Eukaryota, Viridiplantae, Streptophyta, Magnoliopsida, Fagales, Juglandaceae.
CUCCUCGUAACCCGUCUCCCAACUUCCCAAGUCAUCUCUCUCUCUCUCUAAAACGCACGAAACCCUAGCCGCCCCCCUUAAUCUCCUUCGUUCUUCACUCCCUACCAGUGACCACGAUCUCCUGCAGAAAAACCUUCUCUCUCUCUCUCUCUCUCUCUCUCUCUCUCUCUCUCUCUCUCUGUGAACCCUAGUUUUGUUAUGUGCAUAUUUUCAACCCUAACAAGCUUGCUCUACCCGAGUGCCGAAAAACUAGGAUUUUGGCCGUCGUCUCUUUUUCACUGCCGUGUCUGUCUCGAUCGCCGGUGACCUUUCGUGAAUGUACGCCAUGCCCACUUUCCUUGUCGAUUGAGUUGGAUGAGAACAACCAAGUGUGGAUCUCUUUCGGUCCAAUCACUUGAAGUUGCUAUUUGGUGUGGAGAUUAAAUAAUUGAUGGAAAUGCAUCUGAUUUUGUAAUUUAUAUAUUGUAAUUUUGUAAUUUAUAUAUUGUAAUUUUGUAUUUUGUAAUGUAUAUAUAGCAAAUAAUGGAAUAUGUAGUGGAUUGCAUUA